CGAGAUGUGGCUCAAUGGGUAGAGUACUUGCCUAACAAGCAUGAAGCCCUGGGUUCAAUCCCCUGUGUCACCC
Molecule: transfer RNA, 73 nt
Filed under: Neotoma lepida (desert woodrat)
Lineage: Eukaryota; Metazoa; Chordata; Mammalia; Rodentia; Cricetidae
Rfam family: tRNA
About the family: Transfer RNA (tRNA) molecules are approximately 80 nucleotides in length. Their secondary structure includes four short double-helical elements and three loops (D, anti-codon, and T loops).
Source: Rfam by way of RNAcentral